UACAGAGGGUGCAAGCGUUAAUCGGAGUUACUGGGCGUAAAGGGCGCGUAGGCGGUCAUGCAAGUGAGAUGUGAAAUCCCCGGGCUUAACCUGGGAACUGCAUUUUAGACUGUGUGACUGGAGUACUGUAGAGGACAGUGGAAUUUCCGGUGUAGCGGUGAAAUGCGUAGAUAUCAGGAGGAACACCUGCGGUGUAGACGGCUUACUGGACGGUAACUGACGCUGAGGCACGAAAGCGUGGGUAGCAAACAGG
RNAcentral lists this ribosomal RNA (253 nucleotides) under uncultured bacterium. RNAcentral describes it as "partial 16S ribosomal RNA". It matches the Rfam family "Bacterial small subunit ribosomal RNA", at positions 524 to 776 of the family's 1533-position model. The record is from RNAcentral.